Anolis carolinensis (green anole) is the source of this 1974-nucleotide long non-coding RNA. Lineage: Eukaryota; Metazoa; Chordata; Lepidosauria; Squamata; Anolidae. The record is from Ensembl.
AUGGUUCCUCAAUACUUUCAACCCCUUGGUGGACAAUCCCAAUAUGCGAUUGUACCUUCCACUGGAGGUGCGCAAAUCAAUGUUAUGGUGGACCGUCCACAACAAUGUCUGCGCUGGUCUCCCUUUCAAGCAGUCCGAACCAACUAUAUUUUUAACAACGGACUCAUCCUUACGCGGUUGGGGGGCCCACACAGGGGAAUUAAAAGUACAAGGCAUUUGGUCAAAGGAAGAAGCAGGCGAGCACAUAAACUACUUAGAACUUCUCGCAGUACAAAAGGCACUGAAAGCUUUCGAACCAGCUCUCACAGGACAUGUCGUUCAAGUCAUCACCGACAAUACGACUACAAAGUACUAUCUAAACAGACAAGGAGGAACGAGAUCAAAGCGACUUCUUCAACUCUCCCUUCAAUUGUGGAAUUGGUGCAUCGACAAGGAAAUAGACCUAACGGCGAUACAUCUGCCGGGAGAAGAAAAUGUCCUUGCAGACCAACUAAGCAGGACAUCUUUUGCGAACCACGAAUGGUCACUCCACGAGGAAGUAGUGAAGAUGUUAUUCAAUUACUGGGGAGUCCCGAACAUAGACCUAUUUGCUUCACCACAAAAUUCGAAAUGCCCUCUGUACUGUGCUUGCCAACCUGCCAAUCUGAGACCAGGAUGUCUAGGGGAUGCGUUCCUUCAACAGUGGAACGGCAAAUUUCUAUAUCUGUUUCCACCAAUUCCCCUUAUCACGAAGGUGAUUUCCAAAAUACAGAAGGACAAAACAAAUUGCAUUCUAAUCACCCCGUGGUGGCCUCGACAGCCAUGGUUUGCAAGCCUUUUACUUCUGUCCAAGAGGGAGUACAUUCGCCUACCAAGCCGCCCGAAUUUGUUAUCAACCCAGGGAGGUAUGGUCUGGCAUCCGGAUGUGCAUCAACUCAAGUUGACAGCGUGGCGAAUUCGUUAAAUGCAGUGACUCCAACAUUAUCUGCUUCAGUGCAAAAGAUACUGUCAGCAGCACAUAGAACGUCCACAAAGAGAUCAUACAUGUAUAAAUGGACUCGAUUUAAAACAUUCGCUCAACAUAAGGGAGUUCAACCAGAAUCGGCUCCGUCUGCCAUAGUACUAGACUUCUUGGGCUCACUUGUAGAUGCAGGAUUAUCAUUAUCAUCGCUGAAAUGUUAUCUUGCUGCAAUAUCCUGGUAUAGGAGGAAAGCUGGUUUACCAUCAUGUUUCACAGACCCAUUAAUUGCACUAUUUCUUCGAGGUUUUAAGAAUCUGAGACCAUCAGUCGCUCCUAUAGUUCCAUGCUGGAGUUUGGAAUUAGUACUGUCGUCUUUAAUGAAGCCUCCAUUCGAACCCCUGGCUACUGCGGAUUUAGCUUACCUGUCUUGGAAAACAGCGUUUUUAGUAGCAAUUACGUCUGCUAGACGAGCGAGCGAACUGUGUGCUCUUCGGGCGGAUGCCCCAUAUAUAAGAUUUCAUAAAGAUAAAGUGGUGUUGCGCACUGAUGUCUCGUUCCUCCCAAAAGUAGUAUCUGUGUUUCAUACUUCCCAGGAAAUAGUCCUUCCAGCCUUUUUCAAAAAUCCAUCAACAGCACUAGAAAGGAAUUUACACAUGCUAGAUGUUCGAAGAGCGCUGGCUUUUUACAUUGACAGAACAGCUGAUUUUCGUAAAUCUCCAAGAUUAUUUCUGAAAUAUCGUGAAGACACUAAGGGUGCACCAGUUUCCACACAACGGCUGUCGGCAUGGAUUGUAGCUACGAUUCGAUACGCGUACAAGCUAGCUGGCCGAGAGUUGCCAGAACAUGUUAGAGGCCAUUCAACGAGAUCUAUGUCCACCUCAAUGGCCUUUAUGAAAGGUGUGCCCAUGGAUGCCGUUUGCCGUGCAGCUGCUUGGUCCAAUCCAUCAACAUUCAUCAGACAUUACAAGGUUGAUGCAGUGUCUCGAGAGGAUGCUGCGUUUGGAAGAGCAGUACUUUUUUCUACGGUGGCAUGA